RNAcentral lists this ribosomal RNA (494 nucleotides) under uncultured bacterium. Its description in RNAcentral is "partial 16S ribosomal RNA". It matches the Rfam family "Bacterial small subunit ribosomal RNA", at positions 28 to 506 of the family's 1533-position model. The record is from RNAcentral.
GACGAACGCUGGCGGCGUGCCUAAUACAUGCAAGUAGAACGCUGAAGGAGGAGCUUGCUUCUCCGGAUGAGUUGCGAACGGGUGAGUAACGCGUAGGUAACCUGCCUGGUAGCGGGGGAUAACUAUUGGAAACGAUAGCUAAUACCGCAUAAGAGUAGAUGUCGCAUGACAUUUGCUUAAAAGGUGCAACUGCACCACUACCGGAUGGACCUGCGUUGUAUUAGCUAGUUGGUGAGGUAACGGCUCACCAAGGCAACGAUACAUAGCCGACCUGAGAGGGGAACCGGCCACCCGGGGACUGAGAAACGCCCCAGACUCCUAGGGGGGGAAACAGGAGGGAAAUUUCGGCAAUGGAGGGAAGGUUGCCCGAGCAACCCCGGGGGAGGAAAAAAGUUUUUCGGGUGGUAAAGUUUUUUUGUAAGGAAAAAAGGGGGGGGGGGGGGGAAAGUCAACCCGGGGGGGGUAUUUAACAAAAAAGGGGCGGCUAAUUACGU